UACGAACUGUGCGAACGUUAUUCGGAAUCACUGGGCUUAAAGGGUGCGUAGGCGGUUAUCUAAGUCAGGUGUGAAAUCUCUCGGCUCAACCGAGAAACUGCGCUUGAAACUGGGUGACUGGAGGAAUGCAGGGGUGUGUGGAACUUCCGGUGGAGCGGUGAAAUGUGUAGAUAUCGGAAGGAACGCCAGCAGCGAAAGCGGCACACUGGGCAUUUACUGACGCUGAGGCACGAAAGCUAGGGGAGUGAACGGG
Molecule: ribosomal RNA, 253 nt
Filed under: uncultured bacterium
Lineage: Bacteria
Description: partial 16S ribosomal RNA
Rfam family: Bacterial small subunit ribosomal RNA
Source: RNAcentral